CCUACGGGGGGCAGCAGUGAGGAAUAUUGGUCAAUGGGCGCAGGCCUGAACCAGCCAAGUCGCGUGAGGGAAGACUGCCCUAUGGGUUGUAAACCUCUUUUAUAAGGGAAGAAUAAUGACUACGUGUAGUCAGAUGCCCGUACCUUAUGAAUAAGCAUCGGCUAACUCCGUGCCAGCAGCCGCGGUAAUACGGAGGAUGCGAGCGUUAUCCGGAUUUAUUGGGUUUAAAGGGUGCGUAGGCGGUAUUUUAAGUUAGUGGUAAAACGUCGGGGCUUCACCUUGAUUGGCCAUUAAAACUGGAGUAC
RNAcentral lists this ribosomal RNA (305 nucleotides) under uncultured bacterium. Its description in RNAcentral is "bacterial SSU rRNA". It matches the Rfam family "Bacterial small subunit ribosomal RNA", at positions 338 to 641 of the family's 1533-position model. The record is from RNAcentral.